CCACCCCUUCCCAGACUUCAUUUAAGGGCUGGCAGUGGAGAUAAAGGUGUCUUGCUGGAGGUCUGUCUAUACUUGAGGCCUUCUGAAGAAAAUGGAGGUGGAACGAUUCCAGAGGCAAAGCUCAGAUGGGGGCUGGCACUGCUGGGAAAGACCCAAAGCACCACGCAUGCAGGUGGGACGUCGUGUCACCUUAGGAGUUCUUCAAAUGCAAUGGCAGACAGAGAAAUGAAGUCUGGUUGUCUACAAAUGUAAAGAGAAGAUGGUCUGAAGUACGAGCUCUGGAAAAACAGAGCAAAACAAAAGAAAGUGAUCCUCUAAUGCAGAAUCCAUUCAGUGGUUUUCGUAUUUCUUUAAUGAUUGUCUGCUUUUCUAAUAUUUCAUGCGGAUAAAAAAGGACAUGUUACAUUUAAACCAUAGAUUGCCUCUUGCUGCAUUCAUCAUCAGCAAUUACUCUUUGCUCCAUAUAUUCCAGACUUAUACCUAAGGACAAUAGCUGAACACACUGAAUUGAUUAUCGUCAAUUAGGACCCCAUCUCACCUAAGCAGAAAUUUCUCAUUCACAAUGGCUUUUUAGUCUCAAAAGUCCGUAUUUAAAUUUCAAAGCUAAGAAACUUUGACCUAGAGGCAUGAGGAUAUAUUUAAGGAAAUCAAAACUAGGAGCCCAGAAAGCAAACCGAAUGAUUUGCUCCUCCCAUACCGAAUUCCCUGCGGUUUGUUUCCUUGGCCCAUGCAUUUCUGCUGCAGGUGCUGUUUCAAGAUGCACAUUUUGGGAGCAGCAAUGGGAUUCACCAGCAGUAAAUCCAUCCAUGCUUCUCCCAGUUAAAAUGGGUGUGAUUCAGACUUGCAGUUGCAUCUGAGUCAACCUUUAAACGAGUGACACAAAUGUUGGUGAUGUUUAAAAGCGAACAUUAGCCUGGAUCUUCCCCGCCUCUGCCCCCACACCCUGGAGCACAGAAGAAGCAGCAGCAGUGAAAUGAAACUCUUUCAGAGACUCACUUUGAAACAGACACCCAAAGGAUUUAAUUAUUUCCCUGGGUCUGAUGCUUGACAAUUUCCAGUGCAGCUCUGGCUGCUCACGUAUGAGUUUCAGUUGAGAUUUCUGGCGUGCAGCCAGAGUGAGGAAGUAUAUGGAUUAAUUAUAGGCCCAGCCGCUUGCUUCACCUGGCGCAGGCUCACUGGAUUUGCAGCUAAUUUCACGUUGGCAGACCCCAUCCUUGUGACAGUGGGAAUGGAAGGAGGCUUGUGCAAUG
Lagopus muta (rock ptarmigan) is the source of this 1250-nucleotide long non-coding RNA. RefSeq lists it as uncharacterized. NCBI's taxonomy places the organism in Eukaryota, Metazoa, Chordata, Aves, Galliformes, Phasianidae. The record is from RefSeq and is a predicted model, not a curated record. The transcript has 3 exons.